GCUCGGGCCGGGCUCGCCGCCCCCGGAAUUCCCGGCCGGCCACAAUUUAAGGCGCUGUUCCCGGGCUGGGCUCCCCUCCCCGCUGGCUGACGAGCCACCCUGCAAGCCCAUCCGCGGGGGAGGGGGCUCUUUUUGCAAGGACAAGAGGCGGGCAGGGAAAAGGGUCGCGGGUGAUGAAGAACACCCUCGUCGCCGCGAUCGGCAGCAGGCCAGGGCGCAGGGCCUUCUGCGUGGCGUCCCCGGCCCUUGUUUUCCCGAAACAGCGCCAGGCAACGCUAUUCCAAGGCUUUAAGCCCGCCCUCCAUGUGGGCUCCUCGAAGCCGAUGUGAUGCUUGGUCCUCUGUUUCUGCAAUUCUUCUUUUGCUUUGUUGUCACCACCCAGAAUCUGUUAGGAUUAGGGUAGGCUGUAAAUUAAUGAGAGCCAGUUUGGUGCGGUGGUUAAGGCACCAGGCUAGACACCGGAGCCCCUGAGUUCUAGUCCUGACUUGGGCACAAAGCCAGCUGGGUGACCUUGGGCCAGUCACUCUCUCCCAGCCCUAGGAAGCAGGCAAUGGCAAACCACUUCUGAAAUCUUUCCAAGAAAACUGCAGGGACUAGUCCAGGCAGUCGCCAGGAAUCGGACACGACUGAACAGCAGGAAAAAUAAAAGGCUGUAAAUAUUAUUAUCAAGGAAAUGAAUAAGCCAGAAGAAGAAAGCCGAGAUCGGUGUGAUUUUUCAGCGCCCGUAGCCUCGUGCGUGACACAGCACGCUCUUGGAAAAUUUAGAGAGCUGUGGUCCUAACGUGCAUGGAGUGCAUCCGGUUGGGGAAAGCUGCUCUGCCAGCGCAAGAGCUUUGAAAGGGGAAGAGAGUGUUGAUUGGGGCAUCCCAUCAAAAGGGAGAUUGCUCUUAACUGGAAGCCUAGAAAGAAGGAAGAAGGAGGAAAAAAAGCAGAUUCCUUCUUUUAAAACCUCCGCUAUGCAAUGCAUGUUGUAACAGCCCUGAUGGUUCAGCCUGUUGGUAGAUAGCAUAAAAAAACCAGAUCACUUCUUGGAGUUUGAUUGGGGGACCACAACAGCCGCAGAAUAGCUUUCUAGUUACUUGCAGCCUUAAUCCCCUAAAGCAGCGGCUGGGGAAUUCUAGGAGUUGAAGUCCACACGUCUUAAAGUAGCCAAGAAGGUCUAAGGCCUAAAUGUGAUUCUGUUCAGACAGCAAUUCCUGUCUUCAGACAGAAUGGAAACUGUAGACUUUACAGCCACAGGAUCUAGUUUCUUCCAUCCCUGUGGCCUGCUUUUUGUACCAGCUACCCUGAUCGAGCAUUGUGAAAAACUCGAAGGCUUUCAUUUUCUUCUCUGGCAUUUUGGCCAGUCCAGGCAAAAAUAUUGCCCAACUGCAUUUUUUAACAAUAUCAGUUUUUAUCUCUAACAGCUUUCUCAACUUUAGAUUCCAUGAGUUAAUAACAGUACAACUUCCAUCUACCCCAACCAGCUCAAGAUUAGAUAGAUGUCUAAUAAUCACAAGAAACGGUGAACAUAAUCAUCUUCGCUUUGUGCUUGAUUGAGGUCAUGAAUCACACUAAGCCAGGGUUUAUCACAGUUUGUUGAACAAAUCAUAACACUAAACAUCUGGCCUGAGGAUCUGGUAGUGGGGGUGUGGAGCCUGCAAAAUACCUGUACUGUUAGUGAGAUUGUGCUCUCCCACAGCUUAUGUUUUUUAAUGAUUUUAAUAAUUUUAUUGAUGUUUUAAUGAUCUCUUGUUAUGAUUUUGGGGUGGGGUUUUUUUGUUUGUUUUUGGUGGGUUUUUAACCCUGUAAGCCACUCAGAGUCAUGUAGGUGAGAUAGGCAGCUAUAUAAAUUGAAAAAAAUAAACAAACCGUGAACUGUAACUUACAACCUCAGUGGCUAUGUUCUCAUGUCACACUAAGCUAUCCCAACAAAACUGUUUACUGUUUUGUAUGAACCCAGACAUUGUCCUGACAAACGGGGGCUCACAGCCCCUGAAUCUGCUGGAUCCAUUUAGUAGAUUCCUAACACUUAAGACAGGGUUUCUCAACCAGGGUUCCAUGCACCCUCAGGUUCCAUGAGAGGUCACUAGGGGUUCCCUGGGAGAUCACUAUUUAAAAAAUUAUUUCAAAUUCAGGCAACUUCACAUUAAAGAGGUAAGUUUCAUUCUUCAUUUUUAGUUUUAAGAACACUGUGCAUAGAUACAGGCCUACCCAUGAAAGGAAUCUAAUAAUUUUGUAACUUCUGGCCUAUCUUUGAGCCUGAAUGUGCAGGGGAUUCCCCAAGGCUUGAAAAAUAUUUCAAGGGUUCCUCCAGGGUCAAAAGGUUGAGAAAGGGUGACUUAUGAACUAAUAAUGGUCUAAACUCCAAGAUCUCCAGGGUAUGGGGGGUAUACUUUAAUCCACUGCCUGUAUGUUCUAUUGUGGCUUCUAUUCCAUAAUAGAAAAAUUAUUUACUGUAGGCCUGCCUCUCGCAUGCUCAAGUCUACUGCCUUUUCUCUUUUCAGGUGAUCCAAAAAUGAUCUCUCCAAGGUACAAAACUGUAAUUCAGGGUGAAGCCUCAGAGACUGACUCAGAGGAAGAAAUCAAUUCUUCGGCCUUGUCCCGGGCUCCGUUCUGCAGCCUAUCUGGAGUGCAAGUUGCCGGGGAAGCCUCUGAAACAGAUGAGGACGACGAGGAAGCCAGAAAUCCCGCUGGAUCAAAAACAGAGGCUAAAUUGAUCAGCCCAGAUUUACCUCCCCUGAUUGUUUACAGGAAUGAGGAUUUGGGCUCUCCCACGGCGGUAGAAGAGAAACCUGCCCUUCAUAUCAGACACCGGGGCCGAUAUAGCACCCUGUUGCAGCAGAAGCUGGUGGAGAGUAAUGCCCGCUUGUACUGCGACAUCAACAACACCAUCAAGCAGGUCUACCAGACCGCCAUCAAGGAAAUUGGAAGCAUUACUGGACAGCUGAGCAACUCCCAAAAUGGCAUAAUCAACGCUUCACACAACAUCCGGCUCGUUCUGGAGGACCUGCGGGCCGUGGCUGAUAAGAUAGACAUUAUUACCAGCUGCAGUUUGUUGCCUGAUAUCCAGAUAGAGGUGCCUCCAGGGCACACUUAACAGACGGAUGAACUUUCUGCUUCCUGCACAUGGCUGUUCACUGGGGUUAGAUGGGUUGAGACACACUGGCUGGUUGGGACCCUGGUUGUAAAGCACAGCAGAAAACUGAAACGGAGCUGGUUUUCCCUGGAGAAAUAUUUGCUCCCUACUUGAUAUUUAAAUCAUGGUGGGUCCUCUACAAUCUGUCUCUAGCUCUUACAUAACAAAAGAAAAGUGCUUUUGCUGUUUUGGGGGAGAGGGAUAUCCCAUUUCAAGAGAGAGAGUCUUUUCCCUGCUAAUGUUUCCCACAAUAUCUUCUAAAAGUAGACUUGGUGCCCAAGGUUGGAGGCACUUACCGAGCAUGUAAGCAUAGCCUCACACUGGACUUUGUCCGAAGAUGCUCAACUGCCUUCCUCUAUGCACUUAGGUUAUUGUAUAAUGUAUUAUAUAGGUUAUUCAUUUAGAGGGAUGUAUGAUCUCAGUAGGCUUCAGAAAAAUAAAAUUGUGCAGCUUCAAA
Molecule: RNA transcript, 3575 nt
Organism: Candoia aspera
Lineage: Eukaryota; Metazoa; Chordata; Lepidosauria; Squamata; Candoiidae
Gene: BLOC1S3
Gene name: biogenesis of lysosomal organelles complex 1 subunit 3
Exons: 2
Source: RefSeq, a predicted model, not a curated record